RNAcentral lists this ribosomal RNA (774 nucleotides) under uncultured Neocallimastigales. Its description in RNAcentral is "partial large subunit ribosomal RNA". It matches the Rfam family "Eukaryotic large subunit ribosomal RNA", at positions 26 to 629 of the family's 3401-position model. Lineage: Eukaryota; Fungi; Neocallimastigomycota; Neocallimastigomycetes; Neocallimastigales. The record is from RNAcentral.
CGCAUCUGUGCAUGCAGCAUAUCAAUAAGCGGAGGAAAAGAAACUAACAAGGAUUCCCUUAGUAACGGCGAGUGAAGCGGGAAGAGCUCAAAUUUGAAAUCUUCAAGGUUUUACCUUGACGAAUUGUAGUUUAAAGAAGUGUUUUCUGUUGAAGUUUUGGUAAAAGUUCUUUGGAAUAGGACAUCAUAGAGGGUGAGAAUCCCGUAUUUGACCAUUAUUUUCAGCUGUGUGAUACACUUUCAAAGAGUCGGAUUGUUUGGGAAUGCAGUCCAAAAUGGGUGGUAAAUUUCAUCUAAAGCUAAAUAUUGGCGAGAGACCGAUAGCGAACAAGUACCGUGAGGGAAAGAUGAAAAGAACUUUGAAAAGAGAGUUAAACAGUACGUGAAAUUGUCAAAAGGGAAGCGUUUGACACCAGUGUUGUUUUCUCGAAAAUCAAUUAAGAAGAGUUAGAUUUUGUUGUGUAUUGACCUUAACAGCUUGCAUUUCAAUUUUCUUGCUUUUUUUAAUGCACUUUUCGUUUAACAAGUCAACAUCAGUUUCUUUUGUUGUAAAAAGGUCAUUGGAAGGUGGCUUUCUUUUCGGAGAAAGUGUUUAUAGCCUUUGACUCCUGCAAUCGGAGAGACUGAGGUCUGCAGCGUAGAUCCUUCGGGGUUAGAUACAUUUGUGCUAAGUUAUAGCUUUUUAUAGACAACUUGUUGACUAUGAUUAGUCUUGUAGCUUACUCGCUUAUGCUAUUUUACCUACGCUUAGGAUGUUGAUGUGAUACUGCGAGCA